AGUGAACGCUGGCGGUAGGCCUAACACAUGCAAGUCGAACGGCAGCACAGUAAGAGCUUGCUCUUACGGGUGGCGAGUGGCGGACGGGUGAGGAAUACAUCGGAAUCUACUUUUUCGUGGGGGAUAACGUAGGGAAACUUACGCUAAUACCGCAUACGACCUACGGGUGAAAGCAGGGGAUCUUCGGACCUUGCGCGAUUGAAUGAGCCGAUGUCGGAUUAGCUAGUUGGCGGGGUAAAGGCCCACCAAGGCGACGAUCCGUAGCUGGUCUGAGAGGAUGAUCAGCCACACUGGAACUGAGACACGGUCAAGACUCCUACGGGAGGGAGCAGUGGGGAAUAUUGGACAAUGGGCGCAAGCCUGAUCCAGCCAUACCGCGUGGGUGAAGAAGGCCUUCGGGUUGUAAAGCCCUUUUGUUGGGAAAGAAAAGCAGCAGGUUAAUACCCCGCUGUUCUGACGGUACCCAAAGAAUAAGCACCGGCUAACUUCGUG
This 492-nucleotide ribosomal RNA is filed under the name uncultured bacterium. RNAcentral's name for it is "partial 16S ribosomal RNA". It matches the Rfam family "Bacterial small subunit ribosomal RNA", at positions 29 to 507 of the family's 1533-position model. The record is from RNAcentral.